AGCAUAUCAAUAAGCGGAGGAAAAGAAACUAACAAGGAUUCCCCUAGUAACGGCGAGUGAACCGGGAAGAGCUCAAAUUUGUAAUCUGGCGCGCUCCGUGCGUCCGAGUUGUAAUCUACAGAAGCGUUUUCCGUGCCGGACCGUGUCCAAGUCCCUUGGAACAGGGUAUCAAAGAGGGUGACAAUCCCGUGCUUGACACGACGACCGGUGCUAUGUGAUACGUUUUCUACGAGUCGAGUUGUUUGGGAAUGCAGCUCAAAAUGGGUGGUAAAUUCCAUCUAAGGCUAAAUAUUGGCGAGAGACCGAUAGCGAACAAGUACCGUGAGGGAAAGAUGAAAAGCACUUUGGAAAGAGAGUUAAACAGUACGUGAAAUUGUUGAAAGGGAAACGAUUGAAGUCAGUCGUGUCGGUCGGGUUCAGCCGGGUCUCCCGGUGUAUUCCCGGCCGACGGGUCAACAUCAGUUCUGGCCGGCGGACAAGGGCUGGGGGAAGGUAGCACCUCCGGGUGUGUUAUAGCCCCCUGUCGCAUACGUCGGCUUGGACUGAGGAUCGCAGCUCGCCUUUAUGGCAGGGGUUCGCCCACUUCCGAGCUUAGGAUGUUGACGUAAUGGCUUUAAACGACCCGU
RNAcentral lists this ribosomal RNA (626 nucleotides) under uncultured fungus. RNAcentral's name for it is "eukaryotic LSU rRNA". It matches the Rfam family "Eukaryotic large subunit ribosomal RNA", at positions 37 to 652 of the family's 3401-position model. The record is from RNAcentral. Lineage: Eukaryota; Fungi.